UACCCAUCCGUUUCCAACCUUUUUUGUUUUACCCUUCUAUUUUCAAAUAUCCCCACAUUACCCUUUUCAAAUGUGAAAAGGAAGAAUGAAGGUGUAGGUUACGCCAUUUUCCCCCUAAACGGAGCACAAAGAAGAAGAGGAAGAGGAAGUGAGAGAGAAUGGCGAAGCGAAGCGUUUUGGGACAAUCGGAGUUCUUCAGGAGGAGGAGCGAGUGUAGGAAGCAUCCAAGGCUCAGCAAUCAGCUCUGCCAUGCCCUUCUCGGUCUUGGCCUUGGAGUCGGCGAGCAGGUCACAACAAACUCCUCCUUCCUCUUCUGCUUCUUCUUCUUCUCACCACUCUUCCCAUUCCUAUGCUUCUCACUGACUCACUGAGACAACUAAAACAAUAACCUCAUCAGGAUGAUGGAUCUGUUGUAUGUAUAUUUUCUCUUUCUGGAAGUAAUGCCCAAGAUGGACAUUUAGCUGCUGGUCGUAAUGGUGUAAAGCGCCUCAGAACUAUAAGUUCUCAUCUGUUUUACUCUUUGAUGUGGUCAAACAUCCAAAUAUUUUAUCAUUCCUUUAUAGUAUGGAGACUAAAACUUUUCAUGGUAAUACGACAAAGGUUGCUAUCUAUAUUGUCAUGGAGCCUGUUGUUCCACUAUUAAAAAAGAUCAAGGAACUAAAUUUGGAAGGUACAUAAAGGGCGUGUGCCAAUCCUGUUUAUCACCGUCUUGAACAAUUUUGUAAUGAUCCUAUUCAGAAUGGUUUAGCUAGGAAUAUAGAUUGAAGAAAAUGGAUAGGAAAGUGAAGAAAAUGAAAAGAUUUGUCGCUGCUACGACACAACUAUUACAAGAGCAGGAAGUGCUGAUGAAGCUUGAGCAAACUCUGAGGAGAAUACAAGUCAAUGCUCAGGUAGAUCAUGUGAACUUGCUUGAGUUCCAGCAGAUGGUGAUGUGCCAACGUCAAGAAAUGAGAAAUUUAAAAGAUUUGUGUCCAUGGAAUAGAACUUUCACGCGGAUGAGUCAUGUUGCACCUUUUAAAGGAUGCAUGGUGGGUGGAAUUGAUUCUUCCGUUGAAGAGAUAUGCAAGCCAACCAUUGGUGGUUCAAUGCAGUUGAGAAAUGGUAGUAUUGAAUUGGUUGUGAGUCAAGUCUUCCACAAGGCUAUUUAUUGUUCACAAAAGAGAAUUAAAGCCAUAAAUUUCCACUUCAUUCCAUGAAAGCUGUUUUAAGCAUCUAGUUUGACAUUUUUUUUUCUUUUUUUCAAAGGCAAAGCUUCUAAUGGUAUUGAGUUACUUUCACGGCUUUUGAAAAAUUCUUUUAUUUGUUAAUAUGGUGGAUGAAUUCAGGUCCACUAGCCGUUUUCUUAUGAAGCAUAUACUUUGUCUUGUACUAUGCAAUUAUUUUUUAGUCCAUAGAUAUAUAUAUAUAUAUAUAUAUCCAUAUUUUCAUAUACAUACACAAACAUAUACAUAUUCCUCAUCCAUUAU
Ziziphus jujuba (common jujube) is the source of this 1466-nucleotide long non-coding RNA. RefSeq lists it as uncharacterized. The record is from RefSeq and is a predicted model, not a curated record. The transcript is spliced from 4 exons. Lineage: Eukaryota; Viridiplantae; Streptophyta; Magnoliopsida; Rosales; Rhamnaceae.